UACGUAGGUGGCAAGCGUUGUCCGGAUUUAUUGGGUUAAAGGGUGCGUAGGCGGUUCCUUAAGUCAGUGGUGAAAUACUUCAGCUCAACUGGAGAGGUGCCAUUGAUACUGGGGAACUUGAGUACUGAUGAGGUAGCGGAAUGGACGGUGUAGCGGAUGAAAUGCUUAGAUAUCGUCCAGAACACCGAUAGCGAAGGCAGCUUACUAAAGAGUAACUGACGCUGAGGCACGAAAGUGUGGGGAUCAAACAGG
This 252-nucleotide ribosomal RNA is filed under the name uncultured bacterium. RNAcentral describes it as "partial 16S ribosomal RNA". It matches the Rfam family "Bacterial small subunit ribosomal RNA", at positions 524 to 776 of the family's 1533-position model. The record is from RNAcentral.